This 497-nucleotide ribosomal RNA is filed under the name uncultured bacterium. RNAcentral describes it as "partial 16S ribosomal RNA". It matches the Rfam family "Bacterial small subunit ribosomal RNA", at positions 28 to 507 of the family's 1533-position model. The record is from RNAcentral.
GAUGAACGCUGGCGGCGUGCCUAAUACAUGCAAGUCGAGCGAACGGACGAGUAGCUUGCUACUCUGACGUUAGCGGCGGACGGGUGAGUAACACGUGGAUAACCUCCCUAUAAGACUGGGAUAACUUCGGGAAACCGGAGCUAAUACCGGAUAAUAUCUUGAUACGCAGGGUCAAUAGGUAAAUAUAGCUCUGGCUGUCAUUGAUGGAUGUACCCGCGCUGCAUUAGUUAGUUGGUAUGUCAACGCAUUACCAAGGCAAGGAUGCAUAGCCGACCUGAUAGGGGGAUAGGACAAAUCAGAAGGGAGACGCGGCACAGACUCGUACGGGAGGCAGCAGUAGAGUAACGAACACAAUGCGCGGAAGCCUGACGGAGCAACGCCGCGCGAGGUAUGAAGGGCUUCGGAUCGUAAAACUCAGCUACUAGGGAAGAACAUAUGUGUAAGUAACUGUUCACAGCUUGACGGUACCUAAGCAGAAAGCCACGGCUAACUACGUG